RNAcentral lists this transfer RNA (20 nucleotides) under Ruditapes philippinarum (Manila clam). RNAcentral describes it as "partial tRNA-Val". Lineage: Eukaryota; Metazoa; Mollusca; Bivalvia; Venerida; Veneridae. The record is from RNAcentral.
CAAGAAAUAGCAUAUAGUGU